UUACUUACCUGGACGGGGUCAAUGGGCGAUCAUUAAGGCCCAUGGCCUAGACCUGUGGCCUCCAUUGCACUUGGGGAGGUGCACCUGUCUAAGGUCUCCUCUUAGUAGGAGAGCCUACGUCAUAAUUUGUGGCAGUGGGGGCCUGCGUUCGCGCGGCCCCUGC
This 163-nucleotide small nuclear RNA is filed under the name Corchorus olitorius. RNAcentral describes it as "U1 spliceosomal RNA". It matches the Rfam family "U1 spliceosomal RNA". From Rfam's summary of the family: U1 is a small nuclear RNA (snRNA) component of the spliceosome (involved in pre-mRNA splicing). The record is from Rfam by way of RNAcentral. Lineage: Eukaryota; Viridiplantae; Streptophyta; Magnoliopsida; Malvales; Malvaceae.